UACAGAGACUGCAAGCGUUAUUCGGAUUCACUGGGCGUAAAGAGUGCGCAGGCGGUUGGGUGUGUCAGAUGUGAAAUCCCGAGGCUUAACCUCGGAACUGCGUCUGAAACUACUCGACUAGAGUACUGGAGAGGGUAACGGAAUUCACGGUGUAGCAGUGAAAUGCGUAGAUAUCGUGAGGAACACCAGAGGCGAAGGCGGUUACCUGAACAGUUACUGACGCUCAGGCACGAAAGCAUGGGGAGCAAAAGGG
Molecule: ribosomal RNA, 253 nt
Filed under: uncultured bacterium
Lineage: Bacteria
Description: partial 16S ribosomal RNA
Rfam family: Bacterial small subunit ribosomal RNA
Source: RNAcentral